Molecule: long non-coding RNA, 582 nt
Organism: Brienomyrus brachyistius
Lineage: Eukaryota; Metazoa; Chordata; Actinopteri; Osteoglossiformes; Mormyridae
Exons: 3
Source: RefSeq, a predicted model, not a curated record
GUUUUGGGCAACUCUCUUAUCUGCUGCUUGUGUCUUGCGUCGAUGUGAAUCAGCAACAGAAGAUGCAUUCUAUUACAUAGCGCCUCUACCUCCUGCGCCACCAGAGGGCAUUAUCGUGAGUGUUACCCGGAAAGAAUAUUACAUAAAUCACAUUUUGGAAAUAUGGACUGUUCUUUUCGUUUUAUUCGUUACGUUUCGCAUUAACGUGGUAGGUGAAUAUGCACGGCAUUUAUAUAAAUGCAGGGCUUUGCAGGAAACGUAAUAUACAAUAGUCCCAUAAAGGCUAUAUAUACGAUCUUUCGUCUUCGUUCAUGUUGAAUUCGCUGCAAUCUUUCACCUUAAACAAUGUGACUCAAGUUUUUAUGCUGGCUCGAGCUGACGAAGCAUGGUGCCAUAUAACGUAUUAAUUCGUGACUGGUGAUCACGAUCUCUCGUCCUCGUUCACAUUGAACACACUACGAUUCUUCAGCAAGCCGAUCCAGUCCCACUCCCGUUGCUCACCUGGAUCCAUUCGGAAGAAGCUUCAUCUGUGCUCCAGGCGUUGUGCUGUCCUGUGUUGUGUAGUCGUGCCAAAUAGGGUUU